RNAcentral lists this ribosomal RNA (872 nucleotides) under Elphidium sp. S15. RNAcentral's name for it is "SSU rRNA". It matches the Rfam family "Eukaryotic small subunit ribosomal RNA", at positions 1160 to 1816 of the family's 1831-position model. The record is from RNAcentral. Lineage: Eukaryota; Foraminifera; Rotaliida; Elphidiidae.
AAGGGCACCACAAGAACGCGUGGAGCAUGUGGCUUAAUUUGACUCAACGCAGGAAAUCUUACCGGGUCCGGACACACUGAGGAUUGACAGACAAGCGCAGUGUGCGAGAUUCACGUCUCACUCGCUGUGCAAAAUAUGAUAGCUCUUUCAUAAUUAUGUGAUAGGUGGUGCAUGGCCGUUCUUAGUUCGUGGAGUGAUCUGUCUGCUUAAUUGCGUUUCCAUACAAAGCGGUUCCCAUAAAUGCUCGAGCGUGAUUCAUAUCUGCUUGUCGCAUUUGAACCCUUUUAGGAAUGCAACGAACGAGACCGCAACCUCUUGUUGCACCUUCAGCUGCUCAAGGUGCUCAACUAGAGGGACAGCUGUAUUUAUUUCUUUUAGCCAGAGGAAGGAUGCGGCAAUAACAGGUCUGUGAUGCCCUCAGAUGUCCCGGGCUGCACACGUGCUACAAUGAUCAUUGCACUGCGCAUCUUCUAACCCGCAGCAGUGAGAUUCGUCUCGCUCUGCACACAUACCCGAGUCGAUAGACAACCUUCUCGGGUAACCCAUUAGAAGUAAUGAUUUCCUAUAUUUCAGCACAUACUGAGCGUGUACGACUUCGGUCACACACGCGCUCGUGCAAAUAUCAAUUCAUGGUGGGGACAGACCAUUGAUAAUUGUUGGUCUCGGUCUUAACUAGGAAUGCCUUGUACGAGUCGGUUCACCAGACCACUCGGAAUACGUCCCUGCCCUUUGUACACACCGCCCGUCGCUCUUACCGAUGGACUUCGCUGUGAGUUUGAGGGACUGGCCACUUCACGCGGCUAUAGAAACUCAAACGAACAGUGUGGUCUAAAGGAAAGAGAAGUCGUAACAAGGCAUCAGUAGGUGAACCU